Molecule: long non-coding RNA, 651 nt
Filed under: Equus caballus (horse)
Lineage: Eukaryota; Metazoa; Chordata; Mammalia; Perissodactyla; Equidae
Description: lncRNA (ENSECAG00000058900.1)
Source: RNAcentral
GUGAGUCAAACAAUAAAUAAGGGAAAUAAAAAUAUGAUCAGAUUAAGAGUUGCGGUAAGUGUUUUAAAGGAAAAAGAGCAGUUGGUAGUGAAAUAGAAAAAGAAGUUUUUAUAUGCAAUCUGUUUAGAUGGUAAGAGAAGUCAUCUCUGAGAAGAGGAUCUUGGAAUUGAAAUCUGAAGAAUAAAAACUUGCCCUGGUGUGAUUGAAGCUUUAUGACCAAGAGGCAAAGAAGAGAAUUACAGUAUGGACUGGGGUGAUCGAUCCCAACUACCAAUGGGAACUGGACUACUACUCCACAAUGAAGAAUCAGGACAGGAAAGUGCCCUGGAUAAAGGAGUGACAGGAUGAAUCACAGCAGGAGCCCGAUUGUGACAGGCAGAGGGGAGUGUGAAAAGAGAUGCGCCGAGGUGUUUAUAACAAUAUCUGAAGAAAUGUCUGCCCUCGUCUCCUUUCGACUCUUGCUCGUCUGGAUUGAAAUCAUUCACCUAAGGACAAAAACUUUGAUCUCACUUUACUUCCUCCGCUAAUCAAAAACAUUUCAAAUUACGCCUCCUUCCUCGUAAUGACUUCCUCUCCUACAGGAUCAAAUGUACAGAUGCUUAUGUUUGCACUCAUGUUUAGUUCUAGACUUCCCAGCCACAUAGUGAGGGU